AUUCACCAUUAAUCAGUUGCUAUUGUAUUUUGCACUAAGACAGAGACACAGGGUAGCGUUCGCGAUUUUGUUUGUUCGUUGCGGCAGCGACGUUUCUAAGUGAGGGAGAGGGAGUGCCCUAACUCUCAACCUUCGCAUCUUCCCAAAUCCGUUUCAUUCUCGUUAGGGUUUUGUUCCGAUUUUGAGACUGCGUUGCAAAUUCUACUCUUCAAUCAACCAAUCUCGUUUCAUCGGUGGAAGGGGAAACAAUGGAGGAGGUAAAGCAUAAAUCGAGGAAAGAAGAUUAUGAGGUGAAAGAAAGCGAGACGAAGAGGAGUCACCGUGAUCGUGAUCGAGAGCGUGUUAGAAAGGAGAGAAGCGAGGGGAGGCAUAGGGAUAGGGAGAAGAGGGAUCGUGAGUCGCGGAGACAUGAGAGGGAGAAGAGUACUGACUCUGAAGAUAGAGACAGGGAGAAGAAGCGCAAAGAUAAAGAUAAAUCGAAAGAUAAAGAGAGAGAAAAGGGUCGAGAUAAGAAAAGGGACAGAGAUAGGGAAGACAAGGAGAGGGAAAGGGCGGAACGAGCAAGGGAGAAAGAAAGAGAGAGGGAGAGAAAGGAGGAGAAGGAGAGGAUUAGAGAGAAAGAAAGGGAACGGGAGCGGGAAAAGGAAAAGGAAAGGAGGGAUCAUGAAAGAGAGAAGGAAAAGGAAAGAGAAAGAGAAAGAGGGAGGAGAGUACGUGACAGGGAGAAGCAUAGGGAUGAUGAUAGUGAACACAGUGAUAGUGAACCCAGGGAGAGAGAUAGGAAGCGGCAUAGGAAGGAGGAUGACGGUUACAAGGGGAGAGAGAGGGAAAGGAGCAGUGGCAAGUCAAACAGGAAAACUGAGGAACUUGAAGCAAGUCCAAGGAAAAAGAGUGAUGGAGAUGACUCAGAUACCAAAGAAAAGGAGAUAAAACCUACCCGUGAAGAGGAGAUGGAGGAUGAACAAAGGAGGUUGGAUGAUGAAAUGGAAAAGCGGAGGAGGAGAGUUCAAGAGUGGCAAGAGCUAAGAAGGAAGAAAGAAGAAGCAGAAAGAGAAAAGGGUGGUGAAGCAAGUGCUAUUGAGCUCGAGUCUGGAAAGACCUGGACACUUGAAGGGGAAUCGGAUGAUGAAGAUGGAACAGGUACUGGGAAGCUAAAUACAGAUAUGGAUGUAGAUGAAGAUGACAAAUCUGCUGAUAAGGAACCUGGGGACUCGAUGGUUGUAGAUGUUGAUAAUGGAGCAGUUGCAUCUGAUUUACAGAAUGGGGCUGCUGAUGCUUCUCCUGAUGAGGAAAUAGAUCCAUUGGACGCUUUCAUGAAUUCAAUGGUUCUUCCUGAAGUUGAAAAGCUGAACAAUGCUGUUACUUCGUCAUUUGUUGAUAAAGCUGCAGACUUAAACCCGAAGGAUAAAGGGGAUGAGCGAAGUAGUAGUGCACAUCCAAGGAAAGGUUCAAAUAAAUCUAUUGGCAGAAUAAUUCCCGGUGAAGAGUCUGACACUGAAUAUGCAGAUCCUGAAACUGAGGGGGAUGAUGUAGAUGAAGAUGAUGAUGAGUUCAUGAAAAGAGUGAAGAAGACAAAAGUUGAGAAGCUUUCUAUUGUUGACCACUCAAAGAUUGACUAUAUACCAUUCAGAAAGAAUUUUUAUAUUGAAGUGAGAGAGAUCUCGAAGAUGACUCCUGAAGAAGUUUCAGUAUACAGGAAGCAGUUGGAGUUGAAGAUACAUGGGAAGGAUGUGCCUAAGCCUGUAAAAUCAUGGAACCAGACUGGGCUGACUAGCAAAAUUUUGGAGACAAUAAAAAAACAUAACUUCGAAAAGCCUAUGUCUAUUCAAGCUCAGGCGCUGCCUACAAUUAUGAGUGGUCGAGAUUGCAUAGGUAUUGCUAAAACUGGGUCAGGUAAAACACUUGCUUUUGUUCUGCCAAUGUUGAGGCAUAUCAAGGAUCAGCCGCCAGUUGUUGCAGGGGAUGGACCUAUUGGGCUUAUCAUGGCUCCUACAAGGGAACUUGUUCAACAGAUUCACAGUGAUAUAAAGAAGUUUACUAAGGUACUGGGUAUCAGGUGCGUGCCUGUCUAUGGUGGUUCAGGUGUUGCUCAACAAAUCAGUGAGUUGAAACGUGGUACUGAGAUAGUGGUUUGUACUCCAGGUAGGAUGAUUGAUAUACUAUGCACCAGUAGUGGGAAAAUAACUAACCUGCGGAGAGUCACUUAUUUGGUUAUGGAUGAGGCUGAUCGAAUGUUUGACAUGGGCUUUGAACCUCAAAUCACACGAAUUGUUCAGAAUAUUCGGCCAGAUCGUCAAACAGUUCUCUUCUCUGCUACUUUCCCCCGCCAGGUUGAAAUUCUGGCACGCAAGGUUUUGAAUAAACCUGUAGAAAUACAAGUUGGCGGGAGAAGUGUUGUGAACAAAGACAUAUCACAGCUAGUUGAGGUGAGGCCAGAAAAUGAGAGGUUCUUUAGACUCUUAGAAAUACUGGGCGAAUGGUAUGAGAAAGGAAAGAUCUUGAUAUUUGUCCAUUCACAGGAGAAAUGUGAUUCUUUGUUCAAGGAUCUGCUCAGGCACGGUUACCCAUGUCUUUCUCUUCACGGGGCUAAGGAUCAGACAGACCGUGAAUCCACAAUUUCUGAUUUUAAAAGCAAUGUCUGCAAUUUGUUGGUUGCAACAAGUAUUGCUGCCCGGGGAUUAGAUGUCAAGGAGCUCGAAUUGGUGAUCAAUUAUGAUGUUUCAAACCACUAUGAAGAUUAUGUACAUCGUGUUGGGCGCACUGGCCGAGCUGGCCGUAAGGGUUGUGCCAUUACAUUUAUUUCUGAGGAAGAGGCAAAAUAUGCACCAGAUCUGGUGAAAGCCUUGGAGCUAUCUGAGCAGACUGUUCCCGAUGAUCUGAAAGCUCUUGCUGAUAGCUUUAUGGCGAAAGUCAAUCAAGGACUGGAGCAAGCGCAUGGGACUGGUUAUGGAGGAAGUGGCUUUAAGUUUAAUGAAGAGGAAGAUGAGGUGAGGAAAGCAGCAAAGAAAGCGCAAGCCAAAGAAUAUGGGUUUGAAGAAGACAAGUCAGAUUCUGAAGAUGAAGAUGAUGGUAUUAGGAAGGCAGGUGAUGUCUCACAGCAUCCUGCUCUUGCUCAGUUUCUUGCUGCCUCAAAAGUGAAUACUUCUGUGAUGCACACUCCCAUCUCAGCUGCCCAGCUCAUUCCAAAUGGUGGACUACCUGUUCCUUUGCCAAUUCUCCCGACUUCAACAGUCUUGCCUGGGACAGGGCUACCCCUUGCUACAACUGAUGGGGCAGCUCGAGCAGCAUUAGCUGCUAUAAACCUGCAGCACAACUUGGCAAAAAUACAAUCUGAAGCAUUGCCAGAGCAUUACGAGGCUGAGUUGGAAAUAAAUGAUUUCCCCCAGAAUGCUCGCUGGAAAGUCACACACAAGGAAACCUUAGGCCCCAUUUCUGAAUGGACUGGAGCUGCCAUUACCACCAGGGGGCAGUUUGUCAACCCUGGCAAAAUCCCAGGACCUGGGGAACGCAAGCUCUACUUGUUCAUUGAGGGUCCUAGUGAGCAAUCAGUUAAGAGAGCCAAAACAGAAUUGAAGCGUGUUUUGGAAGACAUCACAAACCAGGCUUUGCAACUUCCUGGUGGAUCUCAACCAGGCAAAUACUCUGUCGUAUAAGGGUCAACGUGAAGGCAAAAUGGGAAUCUGUUAAACACUCUUGUCUCGCGCCCCGAUCCGGGACAAACUGCUCAUAUAGUCUGCCUUUACCCAUUCAUGGUCAUACAGGUGGGUCUAAUGAGCCUACGCUUGCAUGUUCAAUAUUGCUCUAUCCACUGCGCUUGCUUCAUGGCUCUCUAAUGUGCUGAUCAUGGUGUGGCAUUUUUACGUCUACUUCCUGUUUGAUUUGAAGCAAACAUUCUCGAACUACUGGUUUUGCCUGGUUUUGUGAUUUUUGAUGCUAUUGUGGAUUUGUUUAUCUGAUGUCACGUCUAUCUCUCAGGUUUCGGUUUGGCGUUCUCUUGUCAUGUAGAGAAACAAGAUAUGAUGGGGAGAUCGCAUGAUUCGGAUAUUGAUGGCCUUGCCUAACUGCUAUGGUUUGGAUUUCUGCACAUGCUUAAGUUUACCAUAUCAUAACUAUGCUUAAUAGCCAGUUUAGGGCUCAUAGUGCUAUUAGGUUAUUGCGCUCUGCCCUAGUUUCGUUGAACUUUUAUGUUAUAAACUUUGAUUUGGUUUUCUUGAAGUUUUUUCAGGUAUUAUUGAUAGAAAAUUUAUUAAAUAUGCUGGACAGUCCUCAAUAUAAAGCAGAGAAGUGAUUAGUUAAUUUGUUUGUA
RNA transcript from Lotus japonicus, 4306 nucleotides. It is a transcript of the gene named DEAD-box ATP-dependent RNA helicase 42, with no coding region annotated. The transcript is spliced from 4 exons. NCBI's taxonomy places the organism in Eukaryota, Viridiplantae, Streptophyta, Magnoliopsida, Fabales, Fabaceae. The record is from RefSeq and is a predicted model, not a curated record.